UGCGCAGGCGGAGCGACAAGUCAGUGGUGAAAUCCUACGGCUCAACCGUAGAACUGCCAUUGAUACUAUCGUUCUUGAGUACAGUUGAGGUAGGCGGAAUGUAGCAUGUAGCGGUGAAAUGCAUAGAUAUGCUACAGAACACAAAUAGCGAAGGCUGCUUACCAAACUGAGACUGACGCUCAGGCACGAAAGCGUGGGGAGCGAACAGGAUUAGAUACCCUGGUAGUCC
This 229-nucleotide ribosomal RNA is filed under the name uncultured bacterium. Its description in RNAcentral is "partial 16S ribosomal RNA". It matches the Rfam family "Bacterial small subunit ribosomal RNA", at positions 568 to 796 of the family's 1533-position model. The record is from RNAcentral.